Molecule: ribosomal RNA, 1083 nt
Filed under: Leccinum vulpinum
Lineage: Eukaryota; Fungi; Basidiomycota; Agaricomycetes; Boletales; Boletaceae
Description: eukaryotic LSU rRNA
Rfam family: 5.8S ribosomal RNA (bases 486-640)
Source: RNAcentral
UUAUUGAAUUUGGAGGCUGUCGCUGGCUAGGUGAUUCUAGCAUGUGCACGUCUACACUUUUAAACACACUUGUGAACCCAUUGUAGAUCGAGUCCAUCGAAAAGUAGCAUCGAACUACCUAAUAGAGGGCUAAUUGGCUUAUCGAAAAGUAACCUAAUAGAGGCUUAUUGAAAAGUAGUGUGAACUACCUAAUAGAAAGCUUACCGAAAAGUACCUAAUAGAGAGCUAGUUGGCUUAUCGAAAAGUGGUGAGAAACUACCUAAUAGAGGGCUGAGUUGGCUCAUCGAAACGUAGUUAAUAGAGGGCUGGUUGGCUUAUCGAAAAGUAUGAGGCUUAUUGAAAAGUAGUGUGAACUACCUAAUAGAAAGCUUAGUACCUAAUAGAGAGCUAGUUGGCUUAUCGAAAAGACUACCUAAUAGAGGGACCCAGAAGAUCUAUGUUUAAUUUACACCACAUCGUAUGUCCAGAAAAUAUAAAUAAAUUACAACUUUCAGCAAUGGAUCUCUUGGUUCUCGCAUCGAUGAAGAACGCAGCGAAUCGCGAUAAGUAAUGUGAAUUGCAGAUUUUCAGUGAAUCAUCGAAUCUUUGAACGCACCUUGCGCCCCUUGGUAUUCCGAGGGGCAUGCCUGUUUGAGUGUCAUUUUAUCAUCAACUCAUUAGUCUUUGAUUAGGCUUUUGGGCUUGGACUUGGGAAUUGCUGGCUUGAUCUUUUUACCCAUUGAACAGUAUCUAAUACUUAAUAGAGGGAAAAAAAAAGUGUAGUCGGCUGUCCUUAAAUGCAUUAGCGAGUGUUAGUCUACAUGGCACGGCCUCUUGACGUGAUAAUGAUYGUCGUGGGCUGGAAGUGUAGUGUCUGGCUUYUAAAACCCCGAUUGCGUGCAUACGGCCCAUAAAGCUGGAAGCGCAAUCAAAUCCGACUAACGUGCAUACGGCCCAUAAAGCUGGAAGCGUAGUCAAAAUGACAAGUUUGACCUCAAAUCAGGUAGGACUACCCGCUGAACUUAAGCAUAUCAAUAAGCGGAGGAAAAGAAACUAACAAGGAUUCCCCUAGUAAAUGGGAGUCAAGAGGGAAAAGCUCAAAUU